Chloroflexi bacterium RBG_19FT_COMBO_48_23 is the source of this 73-nucleotide non-coding RNA. Lineage: Bacteria; Bacillati; Chloroflexota. The record is from Rfam.
GGGCGGUUAGCUCAGUGGUUAGAGCGCUGCGUUGACAUCGCAGAGGUCACCGGUUCAAGUCCAGUACCGCCCA